RNAcentral lists this ribosomal RNA (461 nucleotides) under uncultured soil bacterium. Its description in RNAcentral is "bacterial SSU rRNA". It matches the Rfam family "Bacterial small subunit ribosomal RNA", at positions 26 to 481 of the family's 1533-position model. The record is from RNAcentral.
AGAUUGAACGCUGGCGGCAGGCCUAACACAUGCAAGUCGAGCGCGAAAGUUCCUUCGGGAAUGAGUAGAGCGGCGGACGGGUGAGUAACGCGUAGGAAUUUGCCCAGUAGUGGGGGACAACUCGGGGAAACUCGAGCUAAUACCGCAUACGCCCCAAGGGGGAAAGCAGGGGAUCUUCGGACCUUGCGCUAUUGGAUAAGCCUGCGUCGGAUUAGCUAGUUGGUGGGGUAAGGCCUACCAAGGCAACGAUCCGUAGCUGGUCUGAGAGGAUGAUCAGCCACACUGGGACUGAGACACGGCCCAGACUCCGUACGGGAGCAGCAGGUGGGAAUAGUUGGACAAGUCGGGGGCAACCCGUGAUCCAGCCAUGGCCGCGUGUGUAGAAGGAAGGUCCGUUAGGGUGUAAAGCUACUUUCGAGGUGGGAAGGAAAGCGUAGGCGACUAAGUACGUCCGGUACCGG